Orbicella faveolata is the source of this 4350-nucleotide long non-coding RNA. NCBI's taxonomy places the organism in Eukaryota, Metazoa, Cnidaria, Anthozoa, Scleractinia, Merulinidae. The record is from RefSeq and is a predicted model, not a curated record.
AUGACGCAACGAUGUCGAAUUUUGGGCUUCUUUGGAGACGAAUUUCAUAAGGAAAACCUUCGCUUUAGAAGCUGAAACUUCGGUGCGUGACUAAAAUUAGUGUGAGGUUUUUAUUAGCGUUGACAAAAAUAUACGAUUUCUGAAGUGACCUUCUGCUUUAAAAAAGUCUUACAAAAGGGAGGGUCACGGGCACCCCAGGGCCCUCCCCUGGUUACGCUCCUGGAUAGGCAGGGAACAUUGGCACGUCUACUUCUAUGUCCAUUGUCAACGUCGUUUGCAUUAUUUUUAUGUACAUUAUGAGUGCUUUUCAUUUUCUGCAAACAGACAUUCCUAAAAGAUGAAAAGUUAAGAGAGUUUUUCCAGAUAGUUUCAACAAAUAAGGACAGGAAAGGAAAAACGUUCAUAUCAACUAUGGAAGCAAGAAAAUAUCCUAUUUACAUGUUCCAGUGGCAUCCAGCGAAACCUCAGUUUGAGUGGUCGGCGGUGAAAGACAUCAAGCACACUCAGCAUGCCAUUCUUGCUGGACAGUACUUUGCAGACUUUUUCGUCAACCAAGCUCGCUUAAGUUCUCAUCGAUUUCCAAACAGACAGGAAGAGAAAGCAGCAUUGAUUUACAACUACCAUCCAGUUUACACCGGUGAUAUCAUCACAAUGUUGCAGUGUUAUUUCUGGCAAUGAAGUGCUCUUGCGAAGUUGCUGUAUACCAAAACAGGAGAAUGAAGUAAGCAACAUUUUCUAUGGAGGCAGCGUUUGCGAAGAUCGAAUGCGCCCGGUAUUUUCAGUGCAGUGUUUCCAAGCACAGCCUGGCAGUUGUUUUGAUGGCUGGCUUUAACCGGACUCGUAGUUAAAAGAAAUGUUUCUUAUCAGGGGCCAAAAAAACAAACAAAACAACAAAAAAAAGCAGAGCCAUUAUAAAAUGUAAGGUAUUUAAGCGAACAAUAAAUGCACAGAUUUCAGCAGUUCUCUGUUAAACUGAACUAGAUCUUAACUAGAUCUUAUCUGUUCCCGAUUAAAAAAACAAAAAACAUCACACACUCUUUCUUGUAUGACUGAAUUAAUUUUGCCUACGCUGAAUAUUCUCAUUUUGCUACUGGCCUUACCAUAAUUAUAUUCUUACUACAUUUUUAUGUUACAGAUUAUGUCUAUAUGUGUGCAUAUAAAUAAAUAUGUGUUCAUGUAAAUGUAACAAUGCCAGUUACUAAUGACUUAAGGUAUACAAUAUAAACUACUUACUGAGAGUAACCAAAGGUUAGGAAAUGCGGGCUGGACGAUUGCAAAAUGAGGCACACCACAGAAUUUUUACCCUACAGAUGUAUAGCUCUUGCAUCACACACUUGUUAAGAAUUGUUGUUACCAGGCUGAGGAACUUAUUGGGCCCAAGGACAGAUGUUGAAAAUCUGGAAGGAUCACAUUUUUCAGAUGAGUGAAAUUUGAUAUAUCUAAGGUCGAACAAAUAUACCAAAUGUUAUAACAACAAUCAGCAUUCUGGACUGGAUUUGCUUUCUUUUCUGCCCGUGCUUUAAUAAGUUGAACAGUUUCCGCUUAGGUAUUCUAGAUGGUGCUCUGUCUUUCCGAGAUCGAGGUACAAAAUCAAUGCUUGAAUGAGAUGGUUUCGUUGCAGCUACUGCUUCAAAUUUCCAAGAAUCAUAUCUCGAUCUUUGCGAUGCUACUGAUCUUUUAAACUCGUGAUUUGACUCUGCUUGUUCUGGUUUAGUUUCUGGUUUAGUUCCAUGCUUUGAUCUUACACUUAGUGACCAAACUGGGUCAGAGUGGUGCAAAAGUGUGCCAAUCUUAAGAUUUGCUUUCACUCGGGCGAGAUACAGCCCCCUCGUCUCUCCUUCCAAAUCACAAUAAAAUCCCGACAUGUGCACCGCUGUGAUAAUGUUUUGACAGCCAUCACGUGAACACAAUGCCGCUUACACGUGUUGGACCUUUCAAAGAUCACCUGCAACCAGGGAAUUCUGGAUAAUUUUGGAAGAAAAAUUCUAGCCAUAAAUUUUAAACGGACUCCCAGAUAAGGGUUGCGGGCUUUGCUUGAGCCCGCAAUUAACCGAGAGUGAAGCUAGAAGGGAAAUCCCAAACCAAGACCUUGCUGUAUUUAAUAACCGAGCAAUAGCGAGGUCAAUGUGGCUGGGCCGAGGUUUGAAAUUUCCCCGUGAAGAUCUAACGUUCGAAGUUAAAGAGUAGUUGUUUAUAAGGCUUGUAAAAACUAAGAAAAAAAAACCAAUACAAAACAAAAAAGCCAUCGGGUAAUGCGCUCACUUAUCUGAUCAUUCAUCGUUUCCAACCGCAAAAAUCAAGUGAACCAGCGCGCAAAUCAGAAACUUCUGCUUUGAACGUUGAAAUGUUUUCAUGUCAUCGACUGUUUCCCUUGUCGUAUUCUUACUAUUUUGCUCGUUGACGAAAGUUUCAAUUUCUUCUUGGCUGUUUCCAUAGUCUUGUACGGCACCAACUCCUUCGUAAUUUAACGCUGUGAGUUGGCUGUUCUCCUAAGAUUGUAGCUCGUCAGAUUAAUAGGAUUCACUCUCAGAGUGUUCACUCAUAGUUUUUAACCGCUACAACUUUUAGUAAAAAGACAAUAGUUUUUUUAAAGUUCAUUUUGCUUUGAUUUUGCAGGUACGUAAUCGGCCCGUGCUCAUUAUGGGGGAAUAAUGCCCUAGACUUAGCCAACUCCGAGAGUGUGCGUUAUGUCGACUACACAGACAAGCCAUAAGUUAAAUCUUGUUAUUAAUUUCUCAAACUCGGAUAAUGCAAUUUUAGCUUUCUGAUUGGUUCACUGUAUCUCGGUUACCAGCCAUUAUACCAGCGUUUGACCUUAUAUAGAAAUGAAUGCGCCAAAUGUCGCUCGGCAUAAAUUUGUUUGCGUGAAGCCAAGUUUCGUGGACAAAAAAAUGGCUGGAAAAAACAGAUUGGGUGAGCUAUCUACAGUAGAAAUACAAGAAAUUACGGAGAAUGCCGUCCCAGUAAAAACAAAAAAGUCACAAAAUUCGGGAUGGGAUUAUUCAACGUGCAACUUAAAAGCUGCAAAAUUUCAAAUUUCGUCGAAAUUUUACGCUUUCGUGAAGAUUACAACAACAAUUUUUACCUUAAUGUUACUGAAUGGCUUGCUAGUCCUGGUAGCACCAAAUUUUCGAAACCGAUAGAAGAAAUGUCGAAAGAAGAACUGAAUGUUUUUCUGAAGAGUUUUUACACGUCUGCGCGAAAGAAAGAUGGCACGUCAGUUUACAGAAGUUCAUCAAUGAAAUCCAUCUGAGAGCCACCAUUGAUCGUUUCCUUCGCUCGCUGCCGCUCAACAAACCGUUUUCCGUUAUCUCUGACCCCGCUUUUACUCAUGCAAAUAAAGGAUUAGAGCAUUUGUAAAAGAACUCAGGAAGACGAGCAACAUUGCCGGCGCAGUCCAUAAUUAAGAAACCAAUUUCCAAAAAGCAGAUGAAGAAACUGUUCGACAGCGGCGAGUUCGGACCGGCAGAGAGCAAAAAUCCCGCACAGCUACAGAGGACGACCUAGUUUUAAUUUACCUCUGUCUCUUUUCUGGCCGACGAGGACGAGAGAAUCAACGCCAGCUAGCGCCAACAAUUCUGUCCCUGCGAAAAACCCCUCGAUGAGUUGAGUAUUUUGAGCUGAACUGAAGUCGGCCCGGUUCUUUACCAGCCACGCAAAGCCAUCUGGGUGGCCUCGAAGAUUCUGAAGAUGAAUCCGACGGUAAGAUAUUUUCUCUCCUUGACUCUGAAACUGGCUAGCAAUCAGCUCCACACAUCCAGCUCGAAAUUCCAAGGUAGUCACAGCCAGGGAAUGCUGAAAGAGUUCUUGUCGAGAAUAAUUUUGGCACAACGUCUGUGUCACAUGGCGAUAAACGUUUUCCGCAGUAUUUUUACAACUGCAAUGUGCAAGUGCAUAAUUAUUACUCUUCUCAAUGACUCAAACUUGAACUCUUUUCAAACUUUCUGACCAAUGUUGUAUAUCCUUCAUUUGAUAGACGUUCUUUCAAUUAUACAUGAUUGUAAUUUUCCUUCAGCAAACCCGCUUGCUUCGCUUUCAAGUUUUUCAUUUAACUAAGUUUACAAACAAACGGCGCGCAUGUCAUGUAAUCUCCUACUUGUUGUUGUUUCUGCCACAUCAACGUCCGAUUGUUUUGUGAAAUUAAAAUCCAAUUAACUGAAAUUAAGCUAUAAUUUCCAAGUAUAAAAGCGUACCAAAUUUAACAAAACAAUUAUUCCACUCGCGCUUGUUGGAUAUGAGAUUGGCUAUAGCCAACUCGACCCUAUGGGCUUUACUUUUAGCAUCUCAUAUCCAACGCGCGCUCAUGGAAUAAUUGUUAAGACGGGUUCCGCUCAAAGUUCGAGCAAUGAG